CGAAGUAAUUAAUAGACUAUCUAUCGGCAACACGUACCCUACAGUUGGUCCAUCAUUUUUGCUCCCUCAAUUCCUAAGAACCUCCCGUGUAAACCAGUUGGAUUGCUCAAUUUUCCUCUUGUCUUCUUUGUCAAUAUUUUUGUAAAUCGAUGUCAAUGACCAGCCAGCAUAAUGGCUCUUAAACCACUAUAGACAGGGUACGAAAACUACGGUUUUCGUCUACGUCAAUUCACGGCUGUUGCUGACAAAAAACCCGAGUCUACUCGUGUCGAAUGGAGCACUAUGUAAACUAAUUUUGCUAUACUGUCCGCGCUGAAGCUCCCGCGGGUUACUGUAACGAUAAGAAAAUGCGACAUCAUCGACCCUGAGGCCACGGCCGAAUGGCGGAAAAAGGCGGAGGACGUGGAAAGCAACGAAGAGGAGAGCGGAGAAGAGUGCAGCAGGGAGGACGACGAAGAAGACGAAGACGAACAAAAGGAAAACGCGAAUUGGGUCCAGGACGUCAUCGGGGCCACGCCCGAAGAGUUCUUGCAACAGGAAAACCCCCAAAGCACAAGUCUAGUCUCAGUCAUGUUCAGGUGCCCCAAGUGCAACAUUAGGUCCAAGAGCUAUCAGAAUUUGCAUCCCAAAAACCGCUUCGGUCGCAACGUCAAACCCAAAUUCGUCUGCGUUCGAUGCAAACAGGCCAGUAAAAUGCCGGAUCGUGACGGUAGAAAUUCCUUCGAAGACAGCGAGUAUGUCUUCUAUAAAUGAUGAAGUUGACGUUCGUCAUCCUAUCCGACCCCCUUCCGGGUAGAAUAUCCCGAGUGCCAUGUUACCGGACAUUUCAAAAAAAUGUCAAUUUUUUCACUAAAAUGUUUGCAUUUAUUUUCAUGAAAAUGUCAGGCUUUAAUCUUGAUCACAAAAUGAAUAUCAUGCAAAAUUGUCAAGUAAUUAUAUUUAUUUAUGAGUUUCUCGGAAAAAUUGGGGAAGCUCGACAUCCUCAUGCCGAAGCACAACUGGCGCUUGAGAUAUUUUGCACGAAGGAUAUUUUCAGAUUUGAGGCUCGAGUGGCUGUGCCAGAACAACUUAUUUAUUUUGUUUCGGUUGAAAGAUAAUCCAUCCCGGUUUGCCUAGAAUUAUGAUACUCCAAAGUUUAGAAUUGGUAGCCGUACAUGCGAACAAACAAGUAAUCUAACAUACAACACCCUCUUUUAUCCGAAAAAUCUGGAAGAUCUGGCUGGAAAAAAGUCGCUUGGAUCUUGAGUCCAGACGCUUAAUAACAUUGACAAGAAAAAAUACUCUUGAUUUAAUCCGAUUUUUCCAUGGAUCGAAGAGCCGAUCCUCUCGAUUUAGGCGGAUUUCCAUUUGAUUCAAGCAAGAAGUCCAAUUGACUCAAGAGUGUUUUUUCUUGUCAAUGUUUUUAAGAGUGAACUCUAGAUCCAAGCGAAAUUUUUUUCCAGUGUAAUCCAGAGAGCAUCUCAAUCCGGAACCUUCUUCGUCCACCCCCCCUUCCCCCCAAAAAAACUGAGCUAUGUGAAUAAUGAGCGAGAUCCGCCCUUACGAACCAGAAUUUAUUCCGCCAAAAGAGGAGAUUCCACUCAUUUCACUUUGGUUGUUUGGGCCAAAUUAAGUUCCAGGGUAAAAUGCAAUCGGGACUUACCAGCGAGAUUUUUAAAAGUGCAGUGACGGAUAUUAAACAGGUAGUACAGAGCCAUGCGACUCAAGCACCAAGUUUUAUGAAUGACCUGUAUGCGUGAAACUACGGGUACAGGGUUUCCUCAAAGUUUAUCAUCAACUUUAAACUGGAUUUAAAACUGCAAUUAUAAACUGGAUUUUAAAGUGCAAUUUUAAACUGGAUAUAAUGAAUGUGACUAAAUUUGUGUGUUGGAAUUUGAAUACUUGUUUGUUUUCGUAAUUUUCAUAGUUCCUUUGAUCUCUGAAGAUAAAUGAAAUUCAAAUAUAGUAGAAAAUAUAUAGUAUUUAUAUCCUAUCUUAUAAAGACAUUAUUUUCAUAGUUGUUUGUUUACUAUUUAAGAUAUAUUUCUAUUAAUAAAAUUUUACGGCACUUAAAGUUAAUCUUUCAGAUUUUUAUUUUUCAUUUGUGUUUUCGCCGAAUAGUUUUUAAUGUGUCAUAAUUCUCUAAAUUCAUAUUCUACACGAGUUAUAUUUUUUUCCUCUCCAUAUUUGCUCAGGUUAUUGCGUAGUAUGAGUUGAACACAUUAAAGAAAUCUUCCCAUUGCUUCAUCGUUCAUUUUCAUGCGGAUUUAAAAUUGUUCAUCAGAAUCAUCCUUACUUUUUCCACCUAAGCUUUAUUACUUUAAAUGUUUUUCAAACAAUCCUCAUUAGUUAUUUUUUGUUCUCCCCCCCAUUUUCAAGUUUGCUUUUUGUUUAUGCUACGUUUAAAUUUUUUUUUUUGAGACAAAGACUCUUUGUUAUUUUCAACUUGGUUUUUUUCAUGUUCCUCAGCUCUAACUAUAAUCACAGGUUUUUUCACUGACCGCCCUGCUUUACACAUAAUUUUGUACUACUUUUUAAAAUAAGGAACAGAAAGAUGUGUUGACAUCCUUUAAUCUUCCACAAUUCCAUUCCUUUCGACACUUUUUCCUUAUUUUGUAUGAUAAAAUAACGCUAAGCGUGCAGUUUGUGGUCGUAUGCGUAUUCUCAGCGUAUUUUAUAAUUAUUUGUUAAGAAAGCACACAAAGGGGCAGGUUAUUUUAGAAGCUAUUCUAGUCCUCUACAAUUUAAGUGCAGUGUUGUAAUUAUUUUUAGUGUAAGUUUAUAUCACCUCCUCACAUAUUUGUUUCCUUUUUUCUUCCGUAAUUUUCUUGAAUGUUGAAAUGUGAUCAAACUUCAAAGCGGCACAUUCCAAUGUUUACUCACAUCACGCCACAUCCUCGUUUUCCCAUCCCAAUUUGAAACAAUAUUUUUCAUCGAGGAUUAUAAAUUACAUUUUUUGAAAACUAUCAUACAAGUAACUUUUCAGUUUUCCCUUUUUCUUUAAACCCACCCUUAUGAUACUUUUUAUGAUAUUUCAACCCUUUUCAUUUCGAAAGUAAGUCCAAUUUUGAUGAGGUCCAUUUUUAAUAUUCCUCGCCACUUUGUGAACCAAAUACGGAAGGAACGGAAAAUUACUUCUUGAUUUUUCAGUCAACAUGUAAACCAAAAUGUAAUCUUCUUGUCAACAGCUCUCCCAAUAUUAUCAAUAUUUGAUCCUGACCAAUGACUUGGCGAUAGUCAGUAAAAAAUUGUCACAGAGAGUAUCUUUCUUAGCACACACGUGUGUGAGUUUUCCUAUAUUCGCGUGUCUCGUAAUAAAAUGCAAGUUAAUCCUUCGAUUCCGAAUUUUGUGGCCAUUUCAGGAAUCCAUGAUUUACGCCAAGUCAACUUCUUAUUCAAUAAGAUUAUUUUUCCAAUAUUUUCCUCACUAUUCACUUAAUGUUAGUUAUUAUCGAAAUAAAUUUUUUCCACAGAAAAAGAGAGAAAAAA
Long non-coding RNA from Bemisia tabaci, 3468 nucleotides. RefSeq lists it as uncharacterized. NCBI's taxonomy places the organism in Eukaryota, Metazoa, Arthropoda, Insecta, Hemiptera, Aleyrodidae. The record is from RefSeq and is a predicted model, not a curated record.